Molecule: ribosomal RNA, 1343 nt
Filed under: uncultured bacterium
Lineage: Bacteria
Description: 16S ribosomal RNA
Rfam family: Bacterial small subunit ribosomal RNA
Source: RNAcentral
GACGAACGCUGGCGGCGUGCUUAACACAUGCAAGUCGAACGGAAAGGCCCUGCUUUUGUGGGGUGCUCGAGUGGCGAACGGGUGAGUAACACGUGAGUAACCUGCCCUUGACUUUGGGAUAACUUCAGGAAACUGGGGCUAAUACCGGAUAGGAGCUCCUGCUGCAUGGUGGGGGUUGGAAAGUUUCGGCGGUUGGGGAUGGACUCGCGGCUUAUCAGCUUGUUGGUGGGGUAGUGGCUUACCAAGGCUUUGACGGGUAGCCGGCCUGAGAGGGUGACCGGCCACAUUGGGACUGAGAUACGGCCCAGGCUCCUACGGGAGGCAGCAGUGGGGAAUAUUGCACAAUGGGCGGAAGCCUGAUGCAGCAACGCCGCGUGCGGGAUGACGGCCUUCGGGUUGUAAACCGCUUUCGCCUGUGACGAAGCGUGAGUGACGGUAAUGGGUAAAGAAGCACCGGCUAACUACGUGCCAGCAGCCGCGGUGAUACGUAGGGUGCGAGCGUUGUCCGGAUUUAUUGGGCGUAAAGGGCUCGUAGGUGGUUGAUCGCGUCGGAAGUGUAAUCUUGGGGCUUAACCCUGAGCGUGCUUUCGAUACGGGUUGACUUGAGGAAGGUAGGGGAGAAUGGAAUUCCUGGUGGAGCGGUGGAAUGCGCAGAUAUCAGGAGGAACACCAGUGGCGAAGGCGGCUCUCUGGGCCUUUCCUGACGCUGAGGAGCGAAAGCGUGGGGAGCGAACAGGCUUAGAUACCCUGGUAGUCCACGCUGUAAACGGUGGGUACUAGGUGUGGGGUCCAUUCCACGGGUUCCGUGCCGUAGCUAACGCUUUAAGUACCCCGCCUGGGGAGUACGGCCGCAAGGCUAAAACUCAAAGGAAUUGACGGGGCCCCGCACAAGCGGCGGAGCAUGCGGAUUAAUUCGAUGCAACGCGUAGAACCUUACCUGGGUUUGACAUGGAUCGGGAGUGCUCAGAGAUGGGUGUGCCUCUUUUGGGGUCGGUUCACAGGUGGUGCAUGGCUGUCGUCAGCUCGUGUCGUGAGAUGUUGGGUUAAGUCCCGCAACGAGCGCAACCCUUGUUCACUGUUGCCAGCACGUUAUGGUGGGGACUCAGUGGAGACCGCCGGGGUCAACUCGGAGGAAGGUGGGGAUGACGUCAAGUCAUCAUGCCCCUUAUGUCCAGGGCUUCACGCAUGCUACAAUGGCUGGUACAGAGAGUGGCGAGCCUGUGAGGGUGAGCGAAUCUCGGAAAGCCGGUCUCAGUUCGGAUUGGGGUCUGCAACUCGACCUCAUGAAGUCGGAGUCGCUAGUAAUCGCAGAUCAGCAACGCUGCGGUGAAUACGUUCCCGGG